AGUGAACGCUGGCGGUAGGCCUAACACAUGCAAGUCGAACGGCAGCACAGUAAGAGCUUGCUCUUACGGGUGGCGAGUGGCGGACGGGUGAGGAAUACAUCGGAAUCUACUUUUUCGUGGGGGAUAACGUAGGGAAACUUACGCUAGUACCGCAUGCGACCUACGGGUGAAAGCAGGGGAUCUUCGGACCUUGCGCGAUUGAAUGAGCCGAUGUCGGAUUAGCUAGUUGGCGGGGUAAAGGCCCACCAAGGCGACGAUCCGUAGCUGGUCUGAGAGGAUGAUCAGCCACACUGGAACUGAGACACGGUCCAGACUCCUACGGGAGGCAGCAGUGGGGAAUAUUGGACAAUGGGCGCAAGCCUGAUCCAGCCAUACCGCGUGGGUGAAGAAGGCCUUCGGGUUGUAAAGCCCUUUUGUUGGGAAAGAAAAGCAGCAGGUUAAUACCCCGCUGUUCUGACGGUACCCAAAGAAUAAGCACCGGCUAACUUCGUG
Molecule: ribosomal RNA, 492 nt
Filed under: uncultured bacterium
Lineage: Bacteria
Description: partial 16S ribosomal RNA
Rfam family: Bacterial small subunit ribosomal RNA
Source: RNAcentral